GUCUCUCUUGAGUGGAUCCUGAGUACGACGGAGCACGUGAAAUUCCGUCGGAAUCUGGGAGGACCAUCUCCUAAGGCUAAAUACUCUCUAGUGACCGAUAGUGAACCAGUACCGUGAGGGAAAGGUGAAAAGCACCCCGGAAGGGGAGUGAAAUAGAACCUGAAACCGUGUGCUUACAAGUAGUCAGAGCCCGUUAAUGGGUGAUGGCGUGCCUUUUGUAGAAUGAACCGGCGAGUUACGAUUUGAUGCAAGGUUAAGCAGUAAAUGUGGAGCCGUAGCGAAAGCGAGUCUGAAUAGGGCGUUUAGUAUUUGGUCGUAGACCCGAAACCAGGUGAUCUACCCUUGGUCAGGUUGAAGUUCAGGUAACACUGAAUGGAGGACCGAACCGACUUACGUUGAAAAGUGAGCGGAUGAACUGAGGGUAGCGGAGAAAUUCCAAUCGAACCUGGAGAUAGCUGGUUCUCUCCGAAAUAGCUUUAGGGCUAGCCUCAAGUGAUGAUUAUUGGAGGUAGAGCACUGUUUGGACGAGGGGCCCCUCUCGGGUUACCGAAUUCAGACAAACUCCGAAUGCCAAUUAAUUUAACUUGGGAGUCAGAACAUGGGUGAUAAGGUCCGUGUUCGAAAGGGAAACAGCCCAGACCACCAGCUAAGGUCCCAAAAUAUAUGUUAAGUGGAAAAGGAUGUGGCGUUGCCCAGACAACUAGGAUGUUGGCUUAGAAGCAGCCAUCAUUUAAAGAGUGCGUAAUAGCUCACUAGUCGAGUGACACUGCGCCGAAAAUGUACCGGGGCUAAACAUAUUACCGAAGCUGUGGAUUGUCCUUUGGACAAUGGUAGGAGAGCGUUCUAAGGGCGUUGAAGCAUGAUCGUAAGGACAUGUGGAGCGCUUAGAAGUGAGAAUGCCGGUGUGAGUAGCGAAAGACGGGUGAGAAUCCCGUCCACCGAUUGACUAAGGUUUCCAGAGGAAGGCUCGUCCGCUCUGGGUUAGUCGGGUCCUAAGCUGAGGCCGACAGGCGUAGGCGAUGGAUAACAGGUUGAUAUUCCUGUACCACCUAUAAUCGUUUUAAUCGAUGGGGGGACGCAGUAGGAUAGGCGAAGCGUGCGAUUGGAUUGCACGUCUAAGCAGUAAGGCUGAGUAUUAGGCAAAUCCGGUACUCGUUAAGGCUGAGCUGUGAUGGGGAGAAGACAUUGUGUCUUCGAGUCGUUGAUUUCACACUGCCGAGAAAAGCCUCUAGAUAGAAAAUAGGUGUCCGUACCGCAAACCGACACAGGUAGUCAAGAUGAGAAUUCUAAGGUGAGCGAGCGAACUCUCGUUAAGGAACUCGGCAAAAUGACCCCGUAACUUCGGGAGAAGGGGUGCUCUUUAGGGUUAACGCCCAGAAGAGCCGCAGUGAAUAGGCCCAAGCGACUGUUUAUCAAAAACACAGGUCUCUGCUAAACCGUAAGGUGAUGUAUAGGGGCUGACGCCUGCCCGGUGCUGGAAGGUUAAGAGGAGUGGUUAGCUUCUGCGAAGCUACGAAUCGAAGCCCCAGUAAACGGCGGCCGUAACUAUAACGGUCCUAAGGUAGCGAAAUUCCUUGUCGGGUAAGUUCCGACCCGCACGAAAGGCGUAACGAUUUGGGCACUGUCUCAACGAGAGACUCGGUGAAAUCAUAGUACCUGUGAAGAUGCAGGUUACCCGCGACAGGACGGAAAGACCCCGUGGAGCUUUACUGUAGCCUGAUAUUGAAAUUCGGCACAGCUUGUACAGGAUAGGUAGGAGCCUUUGAAACGUGAGCGCUAGCUUACGUGGAGGCGCUGGUGGGAUACUACCCUAGCUGUGUUGGCUUUCUAACCCGCACCACUUAUCGUGGUGGGAGACAGUGUCAGGCGGGCAGUUUGACUGGGGCGGUCGCCUCCUAAAAGGUAACGGAGGCGCUCAAAGGUUCCCUCAGAAUGGUUGGAAAUCAUUCAUAGAGUGUAAAGGCAUAAGGGAGCUUGACUGCGAGACCUACAAGUCGAGCAGGGUCGAAAGACGGACUUAGUGAUCCGGUGGUUCCGCAUGGAAGGGCCAUCGCUCAACGGAUAAAAGCUACCCCGGGGAUAACAGGCUUAUCUCCCCCAAGAGUUCACAUCGACGGGGAGGUUUGGCACCUCGAUGUCGGCUCAUCGCAUCCUGGGGCUGUAGUCGGUCCCAAGGGUUGGGCUGUUCGCCCAUUAAAGCGGUACGCGAGCUGGGUUCAGAACGUCGUGAGACAGUUCGGUCCCUAUCCGUCGUGGGCGUAGGAAAUUUGAGAGGAGCUGUCCUUAGUACGAGAGGACCGGGAUGGACAUACCUCUGGUGUACCAGUUGUCGUGCCAACGGCAUAGCUGGGUAGCUAUGUGUGGACGGGAUAAGUGCUGAAAGCAUCUAAGCAUGAAGCCCCCCUCAAGAUGAGAUUUCCCAACUUCGGUUAUAAGAUCCCUCAAAGAUGAUGAGGUUAAUAGGUUCGAGGUGGAAGCAUGGUGACAU
This 2488-nucleotide ribosomal RNA is filed under the name Staphylococcus aureus. Its description in RNAcentral is "partial 23S ribosomal RNA". It matches the Rfam family "Bacterial large subunit ribosomal RNA", at positions 390 to 2884 of the family's 2925-position model. The record is from RNAcentral. Lineage: Bacteria; Bacillati; Bacillota; Bacilli; Caryophanales; Staphylococcaceae.